This 901-nucleotide ribosomal RNA is filed under the name Teratosphaeria considenianae. Its description in RNAcentral is "eukaryotic LSU rRNA". It matches the Rfam family "Eukaryotic large subunit ribosomal RNA", at positions 1 to 937 of the family's 3401-position model. The record is from RNAcentral. Lineage: Eukaryota; Fungi; Ascomycota; Dothideomycetes; Mycosphaerellales; Teratosphaeriaceae.
CCUCGGAUCAGGUAGGGAUACCCGCUGAACUUAAGCAUAUCAAUAAGCGGAGGAAAAGAAACCAACAGGGAUUGCCUCAGUAACGGCGAGUGAAGCGGCAACAGCUCAAAUUUGAAAUCUGGCGCAAGCCCGAGUUGUAAUUUGUAGAGGAUGCUUCAGGGCAGCGGCCGGUCUAAGUUCCUUGGAACAGGACGUCAUAGAGGGUGAGAAUCCCGUAUGCGACCGGUUGGCACCCGUCACGUAGCUCCUUCGACGAGUCGAGUUGUUUGGGAAUGCAGCUCUAAAUGGGAGGUAAAUUUCUUCUAAAGCUAAAUACCGGCCAGAGACCGAUAGCGCACAAGUAGAGUGAUCGAAAGAUGAAAAGCACUUUGGAAAGAGAGUUAAAAAGCACGUGAAAUUGUUGAAAGGGAAGCGCAUGCAACCAGACUUGUCGGCGGUGUUCCGCCGGUCUUCUGACCGGUCUACUCGCCGCCGGCAGGCCAGCAUCAUCUGGGCGCGCCGGACAAAGGCGUGGGGAAUGUGGCUCCUCGGAGUGUUAUAGCCCCGCGCACAAUACGGCGCCGCUCGGGUGAGGUCCGCGCUUCGGCUAGGAUGCUGGCGUAAUGGUUGUAUGCGGCCCGUCUUGAAACACGGACCAAGGAGUCUAACAUCUAUGCGAGUGUUCGGGUGUCAAACCCCUACGCGUAAUGAAAGUGAACGGAGGUGGGAAGCGCAAGCUGCACCAUCGACCGAUCCUGAUGUCUUCGGAUGGAUUUGAGUAAGAGCAUAGCUGUUGGGACCCGAAAGAUGGUGAACUAUGCCUGAAUAGGGUGAAGCCAGAGGAAACUCUGGUGGAGGCUCGCAGCGGUUCUGACGUGCAAAUCGAUCGUCAAAUUUGGGUAUAGGGGCGAAAGACUAAUCG